RNAcentral lists this ribosomal RNA (458 nucleotides) under uncultured bacterium. Its description in RNAcentral is "bacterial SSU rRNA". It matches the Rfam family "Bacterial small subunit ribosomal RNA", at positions 28 to 507 of the family's 1533-position model. The record is from RNAcentral.
GAUGAACGUUGGCGGUGUGCCUAAUACAUGCAAGUCGAACGGAGACUGUAGCAAUACUGUCUUAGUGGCGAACGGGUGAGUAACGCGUUGGUGAUCUGCCUCGAAGUGUGGAAUAACCUCCCGAAAGGGAAGCUAAUACCGCAUAGUCUCUCAAGGUUUAGAAAAUUGAGAGUAAAGGAUUUAUUCGCUUCGAGAGGAGCCUGCGUCCCAUCAGCUAGUUGGUAGGGUAACGGCCUACCAAGGCAAUGACGGGUAGGGGACCUGAGAGGGUGGCCCCCCAAAUGGAACUGAAACACGGUCCAUACACCUACGGGUGGCAGCAGUAGGGAAUAUUAGUAAUGGGCGAAAGCCUGAACUAGCAACGCCGCGUGUGCGAAGAAGGCCUUCGGGUUGUAAAGCACUUUUUGAGAGGAUGAGGAAGGACGGUACUCUCAGAAUAAGUCUCGGCUAACUACGUG